GAGGGUACAGCUUAGUGGUAGAGUGCAUGUUUAGCACGCACUAGGUCCUGGGUUUAAUCCCCAGUACCUCCA
Molecule: transfer RNA, 72 nt
Organism: Camelus ferus (Wild Bactrian camel)
Lineage: Eukaryota; Metazoa; Chordata; Mammalia; Artiodactyla; Camelidae
Rfam family: tRNA
About the family: Transfer RNA (tRNA) molecules are approximately 80 nucleotides in length.
Source: Rfam